GACUAUUAAAACAUGAUCUUAGCUGUGUCCAAGGUGCACCUAUUUGAGGUUUUUUUCCUCUCCCAAUUUGAAACGAGAAACCCCUACCAUGCUAGGCUCCAUGUCAAUCUACAUAGAGGGCUCUAGCACAUGGAAAUAGGGUGGGUGAUGGAAACAAGUAAUAUACAGCAUUAUUCUUAUUAGAAUGAGACUCAAGAAAAUGGUGUGACUUACAAGGGC
RNAcentral lists this long non-coding RNA (219 nucleotides) under Elaeis guineensis (African oil palm). RNAcentral describes it as "long non-coding RNA (EGUI_LNC041142)". Lineage: Eukaryota; Viridiplantae; Streptophyta; Magnoliopsida; Arecales; Arecaceae. The record is from RNAcentral.